GGCUUACACAAAUAAACUAGAGAAUAAUGUUUUCAGAUCAGAAAAAACAAUGAAGAGAGUCUUCGGCGCCAAAAAGAACAAAGAACUUCCCCUUUCUUUCGAAGAUGCCAACGAAAGGAUUACGAAACGAGGUGAUAUUGUGAGUGAGAAGAUUAGGAAGCUUGAUGUGGAACUCUGUAGAUACAAAGAAUAGAUAAAAAAACAAGGCCUUGUCCUACUCUGGAAGCUAUUAAAUCUAGAGCCAUGUAUGAAGGUCAACGCGACAUGUUGUACAAUCAGACAUUCAACCUCGAUCAAGUUCAAUUUUCCGCUGAGGGAAUUAAAGAUGCUUAACAAACUGUAUGUAUCCAAGAGCUUAGUUUUCUAUGUGUUCCAUGUAUUAAUUUAACUCUUUUCAUAGAUCCAUCUGUAUGAAAUCUUUAU
This is a long non-coding RNA of Vicia villosa (hairy vetch), 423 nucleotides long. RefSeq lists it as uncharacterized. Lineage: Eukaryota; Viridiplantae; Streptophyta; Magnoliopsida; Fabales; Fabaceae. The transcript has 3 exons. The record is from RefSeq and is a predicted model, not a curated record.